Molecule: ribosomal RNA, 497 nt
Filed under: uncultured bacterium
Lineage: Bacteria
Description: partial 16S ribosomal RNA
Rfam family: Bacterial small subunit ribosomal RNA
Source: RNAcentral
GAUGAACGCUGGCGGCGUGCCUAACACAUGCAAGUCGAGCGGAAGGACGAGCUGUUUGCUUCUCUUAUGUUAGCCGCGGACGGGGGAGUAACGCGUGAAUCACCUACCUAUAGGCCUCGAGUAACUUCGAGACAUCGGAGCUAAUACCUGAUACUAUUUUGAACCGCAUGGUGCAACAGUGAGAGACGGUCUUGCUGCCACUUAUAGAUGGAUCCGCGCUGGAUUAGCUAGUUGGUGAGGUAACGGUUUACUAAGGCAACGAUGGAUAGCCGACCUGAGAGGGUGAUCGGCCACACUGGAACUGAGACAGGGUCCAGACUCCUACGGGAGGCAGCAGUAGGGAAUCGGAAGCAAGGGGCGAAAGCCUGAGGGAGCAACGCCGCGUGCGUGAUGAAGGUCUUCGGAUCGUAAAACUCUGUUAUUAGGGAAGAACAGAUGGGUAAGUAACUGUGAACAUCGUGACGGUACCGAAACAGAAAGCACCGGCUAACUACGUG